RNAcentral lists this ribosomal RNA (822 nucleotides) under uncultured Acidobacteriota bacterium. RNAcentral's name for it is "bacterial SSU rRNA". It matches the Rfam family "Bacterial small subunit ribosomal RNA", at positions 74 to 874 of the family's 1533-position model. The record is from RNAcentral. Lineage: Bacteria; Pseudomonadati; Acidobacteriota.
GGGGCUUCGGCCCUGAGUAGAGUGGCAAACGGGUGAGUAACACGUGGGUGACCUGCCUUCGAGUGGGGGAUAACGUCCCGAAAGGGACGCUAAUACCGCAUGACAUCCUGCUCUUGGACGAGCGGAGAUCAAAGCUGGGGAUCGCAAGACCUGGCGCUUGAAGAGGGGCCCGCGCCUGAUUAGCUAGUUGGUGGGGUAACGGCUCACCAAGGCGACGAUCAGUAUCCGGCCUGAGAGGGCGGACGGACACACUGGGACUGAGACACGGCCCAGACUCCUACGGGAGGCAGCAGUGGGGAAUUGUUCGCAAUGGGCGCAAGCCUGACGACGCAACGCCGCGUGGAGGACGAAGAUCUUCGGGUCGUAAACUCCUGUCGAGCGGGAAGAACGCUUCCCGGGUGAAUAUCCCGGGAAGUUGACGGUACCGCUAAAGGAAGCCCCGGCUAACUCCGUGCCAGCAGCCGCGGUAAUACGGGGGGGGCAAGCGUUGUUCGGAAUUACUGGGCGUAAAGGGCUCGUAGGCGGCCAACUAAGUCGGAUGUGAAAUCCCCAGGCUCAACCUGGGAACUGCAUCCGAUACUGGGUGGCUUGAAUUCGGGAGAGGGAUGCAGAAUUCCAGGUGUAGCGGUGAAAUGCGUAGAUAUCUGGAGGAAUACCGGUGGCGAAGGCGGCAUCCUGGACCGACAUUGACGCUGAGGAGCGAAAGCCAGGGGAGCAAACGGGAUUAGAUACCCCGGUAGUCCUGGCCCUAAACGAUGAAUGCUUGGUGUGACGGGUAUCGAUCCCUGUCGUGCCGAAGCUAACGCAUUAAGCAUUCCGCCU